This is a non-coding RNA of Oryza brachyantha (malo sina), 87 nucleotides long. Lineage: Eukaryota; Viridiplantae; Streptophyta; Magnoliopsida; Poales; Poaceae. The record is from Rfam.
GAGCGUGAUGAUGUGAAUUUUGUCGCCCCAGUCUUAGGAUCCCAGCUCCGGGGCCUGUGCUGAUUGACAUGCUAUCAGAUCUGACUC